CCUUGCUUAUGCAUACUCUGUGCAAAAUGAAAGAUUGUACAAUGAAUCACUUCUUAGUAGAAAAGUGUAAAAGAGCAGUUUAGGUGAUCACUGCUCCCUUUUUAUUGGAGUUGGGCAAGCAAUUGAAUGGUGAGAGAAUGUAGCAACUAGUAUGUUUAAGUCCCCAGUACCCUCAGUUUUUCAGAAGGACACAUGCAUACAAUGAUUAUUUAAUACACUGUAGGAAAUUUUAUCAAAUGCUCAAUUAUUUUUACACUUAGUGGGGGAGUUCACGCAAAUGGAUCCAGUUCCAGACUUCCAGUGUUUAACAUACUUGAUUAGAAAAAUGGAAACAAACAAUUGCAGUCUCAUAUGCAUCAUAA
This 362-nucleotide unclassified non-coding RNA is filed under the name Hevea brasiliensis (rubber tree). The record is from RNAcentral. Lineage: Eukaryota; Viridiplantae; Streptophyta; Magnoliopsida; Malpighiales; Euphorbiaceae.